Molecule: ribosomal RNA, 292 nt
Filed under: Clostridioides difficile
Lineage: Bacteria; Bacillati; Bacillota; Clostridia; Peptostreptococcales; Peptostreptococcaceae
Description: partial 23S ribosomal RNA
Rfam family: Bacterial large subunit ribosomal RNA
Source: RNAcentral
ACUCCAAGGCUAAAUACUACCUAGUGACCGAUAGCGUAUAGUACCGGGAGGGAAAGGGGAAAAGAACCCCGGGAGGGGAGUGAAAUAGAACCUGAAACCCUGCACUUACAAGCUGUGGAAGCACAUUUCUUGUGUGACCGCGUACUUUUUGUAGAACGGGCCAACGAGUUACGUUAAGUAGCAAGGUUAAGCACUUAAGGUGCGGAGCCGUAGCGAAAGCGAGUUUUAACUGAGCGUUCAGUUACUUGACGUAGACCCGAAACCGGGCGACCUACCCAUGAGCAGGAUGAAG